This 770-nucleotide ribosomal RNA is filed under the name uncultured bacterium. RNAcentral's name for it is "partial 16S ribosomal RNA". It matches the Rfam family "Bacterial small subunit ribosomal RNA", at positions 1 to 731 of the family's 1533-position model. The record is from RNAcentral.
GCCGCGAAUUCGCCCUUAGAGUUUGAUCAUGGCUCAGAAUGAACGCUGGCGGCGUGCUUAACACAUGCAAGUCGCACGAGAACUCUUUAAGCUUGCUUAAAGAUAGUAAAGUGGCGCACAGGUGAGUAACGCGUGGGCAAUCUACCUCCGAAUUGGGGAUAACUUCGCGAAAGCGGGGCUAAUACCGAAUAACAUUCUAAGAGCUUUGGCUUUUGGGAUCAAAGGUGGCCUCUACAUGUAAGCUACUGUUUGGAGAUGAGCCCGCGUACCAUUAGCUUGUUGGUAGGGUAAUGGCCUACCAAGGCGACGAUGGUUAGCUGGUCUGAGAGGAUGAUCAGCCACACUGGAACUGACACACGGUCCAGACUCCUACGGGAGGCAGCAGUGAGGAAUUUUGCGCAAUGGGGGAAACCCUGACGCAGCAACGCCGCGUGAGUGAUGAAGGCUUUCGAGUCGUAAAACUCUGUCAAGUGAGAAGAAUCUGUCCCGCGUUAAUACCGCGGGAUACUGACGGUAUCACUGAAGGAAGCACCGGCUAACUCCGUGCCAGCAGCCGCGGUAAUACGGGGGGUGCAAGCGUUAUUCGGAAUCAUUGGGCGUAAAGGGCGCGCAGGCGGUCUUUUAAGUCAGAUGUGAAAGCCCGGGGCUCAACCCCGGAAGUGCAUUUGAAACUGAGAGACUUGAGUAUGGGAGAGGGAAGUGGAAUUCCUGGUGUAGAGGUGAAAUUCGUAGAUAUCAGGAGGAACACCGGUGGCGAAGGCGACUUCCUG